Homo sapiens (human) is the source of this 3560-nucleotide long non-coding RNA. Ensembl annotates it as RASSF8 antisense RNA 1. Its record names the gene RASSF8-AS1. NCBI's taxonomy places the organism in Eukaryota, Metazoa, Chordata, Mammalia, Primates, Hominidae. The record is from Ensembl.
AGCCGCCGCUCCUCCGCGCCCCGCCCGCGCCUGGCCCGCUCGCCGGCGCCGGGAGAGACCUCGUAACGGAACUGGGACGCCAGCGCUGCAUUGUGGGAGCUUUUAAAGCGGCGGGGAGCUCGGCGCGACCCUCGGGCCCACCGGGCCACGCUCGCCCGGCCCGCGACGCCCCCCCGCUGUCGCCUGGCCCGCGACGCACCGAGGCCUGAGGACCCGAAAGCCGGGCGCGGGGAGAUGACCGGUGGCUCGUGACGGUCCCACGGGCAAAAUCUUCCAUCGCCCGGGGCUGAGACUUGUCAAACUGCCCUCUACGGUCACCCGGAAAGUAGGAGGCUUUUUCUGCAGAGGGGAAAAAAAUCAAAAAGAGCCGUUCCAUCCCCCCUCCAAGGACUGGGUUUGAAUUGCUUUUCAUCUGCAGUGGCUGUGAUUCAGCGUCCCUCUUAGCAGCAGGCAAUGACAGAGGCAGGAGAGGGGAAAAAAAAAAAGAAAGAAAGAAAAAACACAGCAAAUGAAUCAAACGGACGUAGCAGGCAAGAGUGUGGUUAUCGUUGGACCAGGAUUCAGGAUCUGACUGAGUAGCUGACUCUUAAUCCAGUUUGUGUUGAUCACCAGGAGGAUCUGGACCUCAGUAUUACCACAUCUAGAGCUAUAAUCACAUCCCUGUUAAGCCUUCCUGAGAUCACACCAAAUGUCCUUGAUGGGAAUUGUAAACAACCCUUACUUCUGGUUUCUAAUGAUAUUCCAGGAAAGGAGCCUAACUAGAGUCAGUGAUAUGCCAACUCCACCUUUGCCUUCCACCAUGUUUGGAAGCUCCCUGAGGCCUCACCAGGAGCAGAUGCUCGUCCCAUGCUUCCUAUAAGCCUGCAGAACUGUGAGCCAUAAUAAACUGUGAAUUAUAAAUUGCCUUUAUAGCAAUGCAAAUGGACCAGUACAGAUGGGAUGCUGGGAAGACAGUUGUUUCCACCUUCAGUAAAGUCCGUGGAACACAGUUGUGACUAUAUUCUAGGCCAGCCAAGAUGCUUGUACUCAGAAAGGAGUGGUCUCAGGACCAUAAGAAAGUGAAAAAAUAAAAAUAAGAAAAUAAAGAAGGGAUUGUCAAUGAAUCAGAAUUCAUCAAGGUCAAAGUCUUAGGAAAUUCCUUCAUGAGGAAGUCUAGGGGGGCUAUGGAAAUGAAAUUUUUAAACAAAUAGGUAUGUGGUGCUGGCAGGAAUAAAUUAUGGACUUAUGAAUAUAACAUAAGAUUCUUUAUUACCUGGUCUCACCCGUCUUUCCACCUCUGCCCCCCUUCUUGCCCGACUCUGUGUAUCACCCAUAAUAAACUACUUACAGCUUCCUAGUGUUAAAUUUACCCUAAAGCUGCCUCCUUCAAUAUUUUAAGUUUAACCUAAAGGUUCUUCAUACAUAGUGAACUAUAACCCAAUGAUUAAACAGAUUGUAACCUACUCUUGUACCAGUCACCAAGUUUCAGCCAAUCAGAGGUGGCCAACUGUUCAAACCAUGCUCAAAUAAGGGAAAUGUCAUGGUGUAACUAAUCCAGCUGUUUCUAUACCUUACUUCUGUUUUCUUAGGUCACUUUCCUUUUUUGUCCAUAAAUUCUCUCCAACCACUCAGCAGCACUGGAGUCACUCCAAAGCUAUCCUGGUUCAGGGGUCUGUCUGAUUCACAAGUCAUUCUUUGUUCAAUUGAGCUCUGCUAAAUUUAAUUUGUCUGAAGUUUUUCUUUUAACAGAUGGUGUCAGAAAUGGACCCCAAAGUAGAGCUCCCAGUGAUCCCCCAGGAGCACUGAGUGACCACAAGGGGUACCUGCUGGGCCCGUCCUCUCGCAGUGUCCACUGCUCUCUUACAGCAACUGGAGAUUGUGGCUGCAUUCUCUCUCAGAUUCUGAAGCUCCAUACAUUGCCGUUUUCAGCUGUUCAAGCUUGCUUGAGCAAAUUUUUGAUCUUAGCUGAGUUUGGAAGUCGAUAGACAUUGGACUGGGUCCAGGAUUUGAUUGGAUCUGAUAAUUAACUGGCUUGGAUCCAGUUAGAUGCCUCGGUUAUCUGACUGGGUCAGAUAGAAACCGCCAGUAAAUAUUUUAAUAACAAUACUGCAGGGGUAUGAACUCUGGCUUUAAGAAACUCACAAGGAAUUUUAUGUUCUAUACCCUUUGUUUCUUUUUCUUGUGUGCUUCGGUCAGGAAAAAUCAUUAGUCAAGUUAAUCAAGGGGAUCUGAGAGCCAAAUACAAGAUUCAACGUAAAAAUGGAAUCCUUGGGCUAGGCGUGGUGGCUCAGGCCUGUAAUCCCAGGACUUUGGGAGGCUGAGGCAGGCGGAUCACCUGACCUUAGGAGUUCGAGACCAGUCUGGCCAACAUGGUGAAACCCCGUCUCCACUAAAAAUACAAAAAUUAGCCAGGCGUGGUGGUGGGCACCUGUAAUCCCAGCUACUUUGGAGGCUGAGGCAGGAUAAUCACUUGAACCCAGGAGGCAGAGGUUGCAGUGAUCUGAGAUUGCACCACUGCACUCCAGCCUGGGCAAAAGAGCGAGACUCCAUCUCAUAAAUAAAUACAUAAAUAAAUAAAGAAAUCCUUAAUUUCUGCGGAACUGAGUGCUCUACCUUCUGGCUACACCUACGUAUACCUGUAUGAGGUAUAGGCCCUGGAAGCAGCAAACACUUACAGAAAUGGUGAAAUCUUACUAAAGGUAAUCUAAAGUUAUGGUGGAACAUCCCAAAUGAACAACACUGCACUUUAGGAAGUACAUAUAAAAAUGAAGUCUCCCAAUUUAGUAUUAUUCAGGGAUGGCUGUUGAAGUUCAGAAGCUUCUAAAAAGAUUCCAAUAAUUUUACAGAUUCUUUUAAAAGAUUCUUUGUAAAAGGCAAAUAAAAAGCUUAAGUGACUAAUCAGAAAAAUUAGGUCUUCUAACCUUUUGUCAUUGUUACUGUCUUGCCCUGAAAGGGAAAAGAAAGCUGGAUAAAGUAUUUAUAGAAGAUAGAGGACCUGUGGUGGCUCAUGCCUGUAAUCCAAGGUGGAAGGAUUGCUUGAGGCCAGAAGUUCAAGACCAGUCCAAGCAACAUAGCAAGGCCCCAUCUCUACAAAAAAUGAAAAUAAAAUUAGCCGAGCGUGAUGGCUCAUGCCUGUAGUUCUAGCUUCUAGAGAGGCUGAGGCAGGAGGAUUGCUUGAGUCCAGGAGUUCAAGAUUACAGUGAGCUAUGGUCACACCACUGCACUCCAGCCUGGGUGAUGGAGUGAGACUGUCUCAAUAAAAAGACAAAAAGGUAAGCCCUUAGGUAAAGUAAGCUUGCUUCUUUGUUAGAGCUAUCCAUGCUGAGUCCAGGCAAAGAAAAUGCUUUCUUUGGCCUGGUGCGGUGGCUCAUGCCUGUAAUCCCAACACUUUUGGAGGCCAAGGUGGGCAGAUCACAAGGUCAAGAGUUCAAGAUGAGCCUGACCAACAUGGUGAAGCCCCAUCUCUACUAAAAAUACAAAAAUUAGCCAGGUGUGGUGGUGCGCACCUGUAAUCCCAGCUAUUCAGGAGGCUGAGGCAAGAGAAUCACUUGAACCCAGGAGGCAGAGGUUGCAGUGAGCUG